This 746-nucleotide ribosomal RNA is filed under the name uncultured bacterium. Its description in RNAcentral is "bacterial SSU rRNA". It matches the Rfam family "Bacterial small subunit ribosomal RNA", at positions 56 to 797 of the family's 1533-position model. The record is from RNAcentral.
UGCAAGUCGGAUGCGCCGCAGGUGCAUGGCAGACGGGUGAGUAACGCGUGGGGAAUCUACCUUUUAGUGGGGAAUAACGCUCCGAAAGGAGUGGUAAUACCGCAUGAGACCGCGCCCUGGGAUGGGUGUGGUGAAACCUGGGGACCGCAAGGCCUGGGGCUAARAGAGGAUCCUGCGUCUGAUUAGCUAGUUGGCGGGGUAAUGGCCCACCAAGGCGACGAUCAGUASCCGGCCUGAGAGGGUGAUCGGCCACACUGGAACUGAGACACGGUCCAGACUCCUACGGGAGGCAGCAGUGGGGAAUUUUGCGCAAUGGGCGAAAGCCUGACGCAGCAACGCCGCGUGGGUGAUGAAGGUCUUCGGACUGUAAAACCCUGUCGUCAGGGACGAAGGUGCGCAUGUUAAUAGCAUGUGUACUUGACGGUACCUGGAGAGGAAGCCCCGGCUAACUCUGUGCCAGCAGCCGCGGUAAUACAGAGGGGGCAAGCGUUAUUCGGAAUUAUUGGGCGUAAAGGGCGCGUAGGCGGUUUUUUAAGUCAGAUGUGUAAUCCCCGAGCUUAACUUGGGAACUGCAUCUGAGACUGGAAGGCUAGAGUACUGGAGAGGGUGGUGGAAUUCCUCGUGUAGCGGUGAAAUGCGUAGAGAUGAGGAGGAACACCAGUGGCGAAGGCGGCCACSKGGACAGUAACUGACGCUGAGGCGCGAAAGUGUGGGUAGCAAACAGGAUUAKAUACCCUGGUAGUCCA